UGAUUGUAGCGAAAGAGGAAGGGACGGCUAACUCUGUGCCAGCAGCCGCGGUAAUACAGAGGUCCCAAGCGUUGUUCGGAUUCACUGGGCGUAAAGGGUGCGUAGGUGGUCGGAUAAGUCUGAUGUGAAAUCUCCGAGCUCAACUCGGAAAAUGGCAUUGGAUACUAUUCGGCUGGAGGGUUGGAGGGGGGACUGGAAUACUUGGUGUAGCAGUGAAAUGCGUAGAUAUCAAGUGGAACACCAGUGGCGAAGGCGAGUCCCUGGACAACUCCUGACACUGAGGCACGAAAGCUAGGGGAGCAAACAGGAUUAGAUACCCUGGUAGUCCUAGCCGUAAACGGUGCAUAUUUGCUGUAAAAGGAAUCGACCCCUUUUGUGGCGAAGCUAACGCGAUAAAUAUGCCGCCUGGGAAGUACGGUCGCAAGAUUAAAACUCAAAGAAAUUGUCGGGGGCCUGCACAAGCGGUGGAGUAUGUGGCUUAAUUCGAUGCAACGCGAAGAACCUUACCUGGCCUUGACAUGUACUAGUAGAAGGGUGAAAGCCUGACGAGAUAGCAAUAUCAGGAUACACAGGUG
RNAcentral lists this ribosomal RNA (575 nucleotides) under uncultured Verrucomicrobiota bacterium. Its description in RNAcentral is "bacterial SSU rRNA". It matches the Rfam family "Bacterial small subunit ribosomal RNA", at positions 470 to 1040 of the family's 1533-position model. Lineage: Bacteria; Pseudomonadati; Verrucomicrobiota. The record is from RNAcentral.